RNAcentral lists this ribosomal RNA (379 nucleotides) under uncultured eukaryote. RNAcentral's name for it is "partial 18S ribosomal RNA". It matches the Rfam family "Eukaryotic small subunit ribosomal RNA", at positions 592 to 975 of the family's 1831-position model. The record is from RNAcentral.
CAAUAGCGUAUAUUAAAGUUGUUGCAGUUAAAACGCUCGUAGUCGGAUUUCGGGGCCUGCCUGCCGGUCUGCCGAUGGGUAUGCACUGGCAGGCGCGUCCUUCCUUCCGGAGACUGUCCCUACUCUUAACUGAGCGGGGUCGGGAGACGGAUCGUUUACUUUGAAAAAAUCAGAGUGUUUCAAGCAGGCAGCUCGCUCUUGCAUGGAUUAGCAUGGGAUAAUGAAAUAGGACUUUGGUGCUAUUUUGUUGGUUUCGAACACCGAAGUAAUGAUUAACAGGGACAGUCAGGGGCACUCGUAUUCCGCCGAGAGAGGUGAAAUUCUCAGACCAGCGGAAGACGAACCACUGCGAAAGCAUUUGCCAGGGAUGUUUNCACUG